This 250-nucleotide ribosomal RNA is filed under the name uncultured bacterium. RNAcentral describes it as "partial 16S ribosomal RNA". It matches the Rfam family "Bacterial small subunit ribosomal RNA", at positions 524 to 773 of the family's 1533-position model. The record is from RNAcentral.
UACAGAGGGUGCGAACGUUGCUCGGAAUUACUGGGCGUAAAGCGCGUGUAGGCGGAGCGCUAAGUCGGGCGUGAAAUCCCCAGGCUCAACCUGGGAACUGCGCUCGAAACUGGCGUUCUCGAGUAUCGGAGAGGGUGGCGGAAUUCCUGGUGUAGAGGUGAAAUUCGUAGAUAUCAGGAGGAACACCGGUGGCGAAGGCGGCCACCUGGACGAUCACUGACGCUGAGACGCGAAAGCGUGGGGAGCAAAC